Molecule: RNase P RNA, 255 nt
Filed under: Streptomyces sp.
Lineage: Bacteria; Bacillati; Actinomycetota; Actinomycetes; Kitasatosporales; Streptomycetaceae
Description: partial RNase P RNA component class A
Rfam family: Bacterial RNase P class A
About the family: Ribonuclease P (RNase P) is a ubiquitous endoribonuclease, found in archaea, bacteria and eukarya as well as chloroplasts and mitochondria. Its best characterised activity is the generation of mature 5'-ends of tRNAs by cleaving the 5'-leader elements of precursor-tRNAs. Cellular RNase Ps are ribonucleoproteins.
Source: RNAcentral
CGGUAAGGGUGAAACGGUGGUGUAAGAGACCACCAGUGCCCAGGGUGACCUGGGCAGCUAGGUAAACCCCACCCGGAGCAAGGUCAAGAGGGAGUACCCCGGUGCUCCUGCGCGGACGUUUGAGGGCUGCUCGCCCGAGUCCGCGGGUAGACCGCACGAGGCUGGCGGCAACGUCAGUCCUAGAUGGAUGGCCGUCUCCCCGGCCGCCGCGAGGCAACCGGGUGACAGAAUCCGGCGUACAGCUCGACUCGUCUG